UGGGGAAUUUUGGACAAUGGGCGCAAGCCUGAUCCAGCCAUGCCGCGUGUCUGAAGAAGGCCUUCGGGUUGUAAAGGACUUUUGUCAGGGAAGAAAAGGCUGUUGCUAAUAUCGACAGCUGAUGACGGUACCUGAAGAAUAAGCACCGGCUAACUACGUGCCAGCAGCCGCGGUAAUACGUAGGGUGCGAGCGUUAAUCGGAAUUACUGGGCGUAAAGCGAGCGCAGACGGUUACUUAAGCAGGAUGUGAAAUCCCCGGGCUCAACCUGGGAACUGCGUUCUGAACUGGGUGACUAGAGUGUGUCAGAGGGAGGUAGAAUUCCACGUGUAGCAGUGAAAUGCGUAGAGAUGUGGAGGAAUACCGAUGGCGAAGGCAGCCUCCUGGGAUAACACUGACGUUCAUGCUCGAAAGCGUGGGUAGCAAACAGGAUUAGAUACCCUGGUAGUCCACGCCCUAAACGAUGUCAAUUAGCUGUUGGGCAACUUGAUUGCUUAGUAGCGUAGCUACGCGUGAAAUUGACCGCCUGGGGAGUACGGUCGCAAGAUU
RNAcentral lists this ribosomal RNA (547 nucleotides) under uncultured bacterium. Its description in RNAcentral is "bacterial SSU rRNA". It matches the Rfam family "Bacterial small subunit ribosomal RNA", at positions 355 to 895 of the family's 1533-position model. The record is from RNAcentral.